UACGGGGGGGGCAAGCGUUGUUCGGAAUUACUGGGCGUAAAGGGCUCGUAGGCGGCCAACUAAGUCAGACGUGAAAUCCCUCGGCUUAACCUGGGAAUGGCAGUGGAAACUGGCGGGCUUGAGUGUGGCAGAGGGGGGUGGAAUUCCGCGUGUAGCAGUGAAAUGCGUAGAGAUGCGGAGGAACACCGAUGGCGAAGGCAGCCCCCUGGGCUGACACUGACGCUGAGGCACGAAAGCGUGGGGAGCGAACAGG
RNAcentral lists this ribosomal RNA (253 nucleotides) under uncultured bacterium. Its description in RNAcentral is "partial 16S ribosomal RNA". It matches the Rfam family "Bacterial small subunit ribosomal RNA", at positions 524 to 776 of the family's 1533-position model. The record is from RNAcentral.